CAGUUGGCUCUGUGGCUCCUUACCGGGACGGUAUAACAGAAGCCUACAGAGCGGGGACCGGCGGUGGAUGGGGAAGGGCAGUAGCCGCAGCAGCAGCAGCAGUCGGGCGCACCGACCGAAGCAUGCUCCAGUGCAGCCAUGACUUGCUCGGCGUCAGAUAGCGAGAAGAUCGUGAUCAACUGCGGCGGGAUCCGACACGAGACCUACCGGAGCACCCUGAAGACGCUGCCGGGGACGCGCUUGUCUUGGCUGACCGAGCCCGACGCCUACAGCAACUUCGACUACGACCCCAAGUCCGACGAGUUCUUCUUCGACCGCCACCCCGCCACCUUCGCCUUCAUCCUCAACUACUACCGCACCGGGAAGCUCCACUGUCCCAACGAUGUCUGCGGGCCGCUCUUCGAGGAGGAGCUCGCCUUCUGGGGCAUCGAUGAGACGGACGUGGAGGCGUGCUGUUGGAUGAACUACCGGCAGCACCGCGACGCCGAGGAAGCCCUGGACAGCUUUGAGACCCCCGAGCCGGACGCACCCGAGGAUGACCCGGCACUCACCGGCGGGGCGGACGGAGAUCUGAAGCGGCUGUGCAUGCAGGAGGAUGGCCGCAGGGCGACGUGGUGGGAGGUGUGGCAGCCCUGGAUGUGGGCACUGUUCGAGGACCCCUACUCCUCCAAAUACGCCAGGUAUGUGGCGUUCGCCUCACUCUUCUUCAUCCUCCUCUCCAUCUCCACCUUCUGCUUGGAGACCCACGAAGUCUUCAACACCAUCUACAACAAAACGGAGAACAUGACUGUGGGCAAUGUGACGCACGAGGAGAUAGUCUACGAGGUGGUCACGGAUGGCUGGCUGACGUACGUGGAGGGCGUUUGUGUCAUCUGGUUCACCAUCGAGGUGAUGGCGCGCGUCGUCUUCUGCCCCGACAAGGCAGAGUUCUUCCGCAGCGCCCUCAACAUCAUAGACUUUGUGGCCAUCGUGCCCUUUUACUUGGAGGUGGCGCUGAGCGGCCUCUCCUCCAAAACAGCCAAAGACGUGCUGAGCUUCCUGCGUGUGGUGCGCUUCGUCCGUAUCCUGCGUAUCUUCAAGCUGACCCGCCACUUUGUGGGUUUGCGGGUCCUGGGCCACACUCUGCGGGCGAGCACCAACGAGUUCCUGCUGCUCAUCAUCUUCCUGGCGCUGGGCGUCCUCAUCUUUGCUACCAUGAUCUACUACGCCGAACGUAUCGGCGCCGACCCAGACGACCCGACGGCCGCGGCACACACCGACUUCAAGAACAUCCCCAUCGGCUUCUGGUGGGCUGUGGUGACCAUGACCACGCUGGGAUACGGGGACAUGUACCCUAAGACGUGGUCGGGAAUGCUGGUGGGGGCCCUCUGCGCCCUGGCGGGCGUGUUGACCAUCGCCAUGCCCGUGCCCGUCAUCGUCAACAACUUCGGCAUGUACUACUCCUUGGCCAUGGCCAAGCAGAAGCUCCCCAAGAAGAGGAACAAGCACAUCCCCAGAGCACCGCAGCCGGGCAGCCCCAACUACUGCAAGCCCGAUGCCCUGGCCAUGGCGACCGCCUCGCCGCACAGGCUGAUGGGUAACGUGCUGGGGCCGGGCAUGGUGGGAUCCGGCAGCAUGAUGGGAACCGGAGACUGCCCCCUGGCACAGGAGGAGAUCAUUGAGAUCAACAGAGCAGACUCCAAGCAGAACGGUGAUGCGGCGGCCAAUGCGGCGGCCCUGGCCAAUGAGGACUGCCCCACCAUCGACCAGGUCCUCGGGGACGAGCGCAGCCCGGCCACCGGGGGCCUCGGCUCCACCACCAGCCGCGAGCGCUACCCUCACGACCGGGCCUGCUUCCUGCUGAGCGCCGGGGAGUUCCAGCGCACGACGGAUGGGAAUGUUCGGAAAGUAGGAGGCACCGUGAACGGCUACUGGAGCGACAGCCCGUGGUAGAAGAAGAAGAAGAAGAAGAAGAGCAGACGCUGAACGCCACAGGAAGAAGAGAGAGAAUGAACAACAGGGACGAACGUAGAAAUAUGCAAUGUAGAUAAAAGAGACGAAGGCGGCAGUGGGAUCUGUGUGUUGGGAUGUGUUGUAUCUGACCAGAGUACAUGUGGAUCUGUGUGUGCAUGUGUGUGUGUGCAUGUGUGUGUGUGUGUGUGCCCAGACCUGCAUCUGGACUGAGAUGCACAAAUGUCAACUAGGAAAACAACAUUUCCCUUUAAGAAAACGGUUGUUUCAGUUUAGUUUUGGUGUUUCUGAUCCAUGUGUGAUUAUCUUUCUAUCAAAGUGUGGACUUUUGUUGCUUCCUUUUUGUUUUAAACUCUUUUUUUUUUUUUUUAAACAUUAUUUUGUGUAGAAAUGUAUUUCAGAGCUACAAUGUGAACCAUAUUCCUUGUAGAAGACAGUGAUUUUGUGUCUGUUGUUUAAGUUUUUUUUUGUCUGUCCUCAACUGUUGCUCUCACUUUCAUUCUCUCCCAGCAAAAUGUGAAAAUCAUUAGUUUAAUCAUUUUAAACCUGUUUAAGGAGACUUUAUAAAGUAUUGAAUCCUACCAAAAAGAAAAAAGGAAACCUAAAAAGUGAGCUAUCACCUUCUUGUUACCGUUUGACAUUCAGACUGGGAGUGCUGUAAGGUGAGGGCACCAACUGAGAAGAUGGUUGUACAUUUAAAGAUGUAAGUUUGGCAUUUUAGGAAAGAUUCUAAUUCACUUUCUUGCUGAGAGUGAGGCAUAAAUUUCACGUCUUACAGUUCUGAGCUACAGCUAGAAAGUCAUCAGCUUAGCUCAGAUUUAAGGGAAGUGUUGAAUCUGGGUUCCUCCAAAGGCAGAACUAUUAACCCUCCUGUUGUCUUCAUUUACAGGCUCCUUGUCUGAAAAAAAAAAUCCAAAAAUUCAGAAAAAAAUUCCCCCACGGUGAUGACUAAACUGCAUGGGAAUUCAGCUGUACAGUGUACAGUAAGAGUUGGUAAUUCAUGGGCUGCAGAGGUGUUUUUUUGUCUUUGCUAAGCUAAUGUAACUCGUCGCCUCCUGGCUCUAGCUCUAGAUUUACAGACUGAUCCUGCUCUCUGCAAGAAAAUGAGGUGUUUUUUCCCCAAAAUGUCGAGCUACGUUUUGAACUUUCUGUGACUCUUGUUUUAGAGGCCGGACACUUUUUUUUUAUUCUGAUUCCUGUUUAGCUCAAGUGGGGCAACAGUUUCUAAUAUGCGUCAGAAGUGCAACUGAAUAAUUUAGAGGUAUUAAUCCAGUGGAAGUCAGGGAUUAGAUUCCCGGUUAGAAAAUCAUUUUACACCCAGCACACACACACACACACACAAACACACACACACACACCCUGACACACUGGAUCUGUGUCUCGUUUCUCUCCAUGUCAUCCUCUCCUGAUCCUCUUCUCCUUUCCUAACUUGUUCUGAGUGUUUCUGUCACUUUUCCCCUCCUCGAUGGCCACUGCUGACUGGUCGCUUCUGUCAUGAAGAUGUACAUAUGUAAAGUUUGCGUUGUAGAUGAAUCUGCAUGGGUUUCCAUCACAAGCAAUAAGGAUAUUGAUAUGACUAAUAACGUGAGGAGGUGUGAUAAGGUUUUAGUCUUAAGCUUAAAUGAAUGUGUAUAGAACAUUUAGACUACUAAGAGUGUAUAUGGAUGUAUGUGUUUAGACGCAUACAUAUGCACUAACAAAAGCAUGCAGGACAAAAAUUCCUUCACCUCUUUGAAUGCAAGAAGAGGUGAGACGGGCUGACAUAAUGCAUGCCAAAAUGCUAUGAUGCUAUUGGUCGAAACAGACCAAGUUAGGUACUGUAAUGGGGCUGGGUGAGGGUGGGAAAGUUUAUUUUUGCAGGAUGGGGAGGGGUUACGUUUCUAGCAGGUCUUGUAUAGCUGCUUUCUUAUCGAUCUUGAGAGACUUAUGAUAAGAGAAACAUAAUAACAAUCGUAGCUUAUGGUUUUCUUUCUUCUUUUUUUGCUUCUCUAUUCACAGAGAACUGUUCUGAAAGCCCCGCGCUUAUCAGAUAUAUGCAAAAAGAAGCAGUAACUGUGAACUAAAGCUAAGAAAUGAAAAAAAAAACAAAAAUCCAGCUUCUUCCAUCAAUGUCUCGAUUCCUCUUCUGCAAGAGAGAAGAGAGACCCUUCUCCUCCCAAGAUACCUCCUCACCAAAGUUUCCCUUUCCAUCGUUUUCAUUCGUCCGCUCCUUCAUUGCCCAUCGUUUCCAGCUGUCCUGUCCUGUCCGCUGUACUUGCAUUUAAACUGGAGUGAUUUUAAAAGACGGAUGCCUCUGCAAUGCAAGAAUGAAGCGAUUCAAUGCAUCCUCAAAGCCAAGGGUGAGAAUGAACCGACCAGGUGGCCUCAGGCAGAACAUCUCCCUUUAGAACACCUCUAAUUCUUCUGGUUCAUUCAGCUGUAUUUGCAAUGAAUCAAGAGGUAUUUAGCAAUAGUCAUAAUGGAGAUGGUAAACUAUCUCGCCAAGAAUAUCACCCACCCAAUCUUCUGGUACUUUGUCUUUUACAUCCACUAGUUUAAUUAGACAUAACCAAAGUCUUUCCCCAACCUUAACCACAGUUAAUAUUGACAUAUAUUGGAGAAAAAUAUUGAAAGCUUCCUAGAAACAGAGAAAAACCUGACAUUCAGUGUAGCCCAUAGUUUUGCUCAACAGUCCUUUGUCAGUGGUGUUGUCCAGUGUUAGUUUUAUUACUUUUUCUUGUUGCUACAGAUAGUUGUAGUUGACAAAAUGAUCACAAAAUAAUUACCGCUCCAUUAAACCAAGGGACAAUUGGUUUUCUGGGUCCAGGAACUUUCAAUAGUUGGUAAUCCUGUUAUCAGAAAGGGAACCUGAGAUUAAAGACGUCCGCAUGUUGGAGAUGUGCACUGCUCUAGGGGAAGCUUCCUUUAAGAACAUGCCUCCGACCAUUUGGACGCUUCAUGAUCACGUCAAAAGUCUAAAUGUCUUUGCAGAAGUUGUGUUAAAUUCCAAGUGACAAACGGCACUGCAGAGGCAACGUUCUAACAUGGAAGCUUGAGGAUUGUUGAAUGCAGAUUAUCAUUGGUUUCUACUUGACGUCCUUUAGCUUCUGACCCCCGUCGGCCACAUUUCUCUCCUUCCAUCUAUUCACAACUCAGGUAUCUCUUUCUCAGUCUCUCCUUCUGUGCCCCUGUGUUCCUGUUCAACCCAUGUUUCCUCAAAUAUGUACUGUAUGUAUGAACAACGGAGAGACUAGAGAAGAAAAUUGAGCUUUCCUUUGUGUUCUGUGCCUGUGAAUGCUAUGUGCUCUGUUUUAAGGCCCCUCCUUCAGAAAUGCUGUUGCUUUAACUUGUCCGACUGCUUCCUGUCUUCUUCGUGUGUCGUCCCCUCGUCUUUCCGCCCUUUCCCCCUAUAACUGUACCUCACCGUCUGUGAGACGCUAUCCAUUCCCCCACCCAGAAGCCUCUCACAGCAAAACCAAAAAAAAGGAAAUAGAGUGCAAUUGGAGAACCUUCACACCAGAAAAACUAAAAAAGAUUGGCCUAACUGUGGACUUCACCGAGGAGGAAGACAGCAAUGGACACUGUAAUGAAUGGAAAACACUGGAGUGAGAUGUUGUAGAUGUGGAGGAGGGGAACAAAUGUGCUGUGAAAUGAUGUGUUCUGAGAGGAUGGUCAGCCGAGCAGCAUCAGAGGGAGGAGAUGGAGGAGGAAAAGUUUGGGCAAGACAGAAAAGUGUGGUGAUGAUGAGGAGGAGGAGGAAAGAAAGAAAGAAGCAAAAAUCGCUUCUCCAUUGCUGAGUUUCUAACCCACCCACCCCUUUCUGUACAAGAAGAGGAACCUAUAAACUCUAAGCUGCUGCUCCUCCAUCUCCCCUAGUGGGACUCACUGUAGAAAUUGGGAGGGAGAUAGAGAGAAAGAGGGAAAAAAAAGAAAAAGGUGUCACCGAACAUUUCCAUCAUCAUAUGCAACCCAGUGGAGAAAAGCUUGUGAUCACAAGUAAGCCAUUCUAACAUGGGAGAGCAAAUGUUCUCCAGCUCUUCUGAACUGAUUUCCAGAGCAUGGAGGGACACAUUCGGAUGUGGAACCAUGCGAGAAGGAUGCCUUCUUCUUUCCACAGCUGUGUGUCCUUUAGUUGUCAUAAUGCUUAACUGACCAGUCUGGUUUUUUCUUUAGUUUUUUUCGAGAAGCUGCACUCACUGCUGUUAGUUCCCAGUGAAUGCUCCAUUAUUUUGGCACUCGAAGCACUAUGCAAGGUGAGGGGUGGACCAUCGUGAUGUCUAACUGCUGAGUCUAAUCUGCUAAUCUCUGCUGAGCAACAGGACCUCGAACAGCAGGCUGAAGUCUACUCAUACAUAUCAGAAAACGCCAGCCAUAUCACACACACACAUGACGUGAUCCUGUCUAUUUGAUAUUAUCUGAAUCUUCCAGGAGACUAUUGACUGAACAUCUUGGGACUUCAAGUUCAGCUGAUCAUUUUAAAUACUCGGUUUUAAUCCAUCCUGGUGGAGUUUAACCCAAAGACAGACACUCGGAUGGACGAACCGGUCGGGGUGAGCACGAAGCUGGCCAUAACAUCUGUCCCAAUAAAAGGAGGUGUCGCUGAAGACGAAGAUGCGAUUGACCCUCUUUCUCUCUUUCUCGCUCUCUCUUUCCCUCUGGAGUCUUUACAGUAUCUCGCCCCGCCACCCCACCUCCCCUCCCUGCAUCUCAGCAUCGCUGCUGCUCCUCCUCUUUAGAAAAUCUGCAUGGCAUGAAUGAAACCAAUUAAAACCCGAAGAAAGACAGUCAAAGACACAAUGGAUGGAUUUAAAAAAUAAGAGGGGGAGAGAGAAGGGAAGGAGUCCAUAAGAAAGGGGGAGAGAGACCAUAGAUUUUUUUUUUCCACCCAGCAAUGUCAAUGCAAAGUCAUCAUCAUCAUCAUCAUCCGAGCUACUUUUUAACCCCUAACUGGCUGCUAAUACGUGCAAAACAGCAUCUCCUGCAGCAAACUGCUUUCUCUGAAGGCAUGAUGGAUGAGGAGGAGCUCUAACCCUCCUCUAAGAGACAGAGGAAGGUGGGGGAGGAGAUUCUGCGGACCAUACACUCUAUACCUCUGGGGAUGUGGGAGAAGAUAGAGGCUUUUUUAAAGAAAGCAGGUAUUCAGCAGGAGCGGGAGAACAUCUUUGAGAAACUAUUCUAGGGACUAAAAAAAAAGAGGCAAUGAUUGCAAAUUAGAAAUGCAUUUUUAUGACAUUGUUUACCAGCAUGAAUAUUCUGCAUGACUUCUGCAAGCCACUCUGAUCUCCCCCAUGAAUAACAGGGCUAGAAAUUGAGAAUUUAAAUGUGAAAAUUUAACAAGACGAUGUUAUAUGCAACAAAGUAAAAAUGUAGGCUUAUGUUUGAAAAAAGAAGAUUUUCUCCAUUUAGUUUUUAACGAUGAAAACACAUAUAAUUAAGAAAAAAAGGAUUGCAACAUCUGCCCUGUUCUGUUUUCUUUAGGAUAUCUUAGGAGACACCUCCAACCAAGCUCUCUAAAAUCCAAAAAGAGUCCUCCCAACUUCUGCAAGUAUCUAUUCUGCUACUACGAGUUUGUCUUCUACUACUUCAACUUCUCACCUGGCUGCUAUUCUGCUUCUUCUUCCUCCUUCUUCUUCUCUUUCUUCUUCCUCUUGUAGCCUUUACCAGAACCCUUAUAUGUAACUCUCUCCAAUGGCAGCUGUGUGCGUCUGUGUGACUAUCUGGACCCACAACAACCAAACUGAUGCUGAACUGAACUGUGCUGUCCACUCCAAGAUGUCACUGAUUCUGUGUAUUCUGUGAAAUGAAAUGUGUACCUGGUCCCUUUGCUUGGAACUUUCCUCCUGGCCUUGAUAAAGGUGGAUAUCCGAGGCGUCACCUUUGAGGUCAGAUAGGUCGACUGAGGUCCGGGGUGAAGAUUGAGACAGGAGAAGGAGAGGGUUCUCACUGGUCAGUUUACUUCCUCAGGUGAAAAGGUACGAGAUGGCUGCCUCAUCAUCCAGGAUUGUUGUUUAGCCACCUUGGAUUUAUGUCUUUUUCUUUCCUCCGAGCAAGAAUUAGCAUUUAUGUAAUUUUUUCCGAUGCUCUUUCAUCGAGAUUGGGGCUGAAAUGAGAUAUCCUAUAUGGAUAUUAGGGUUAGGGAUUGGGCAAUUGCUGUUGUAUGACGUGAUUUAAAUUUAAAUCAGGCUUUAUAUACCCCCAGCGAACCACCUAAGAAAGUUUAGAGGCCAUUACAAACUCAACUAAAGCUAAAUUUUUACUCACUCAAUUGAAUUUACAGUUUUAUUUAAUUAAAUGUUAUCUCUGUGAUAAUGUUGGACUUGCUCAUAUGUCCUUAAAUACUUAUUUUUUUGUCUGAAAACCGUCACAUUUCAUUAAAAAAAACCUUUUUAAUGUCAACUACAGACAUGGCAUGAGUGUUCUCAAUGGUGGCUACAGAAACUUGGUAAAAGAAAAGAACUAUAGUAGCUAAUGAAGAAUCAAGGAAAGAAAUAUGUGGUCUCAGAGAUUUAGAGAGAAAAAGAAGGAUGUCUUCUGUAAAUGUUCGGUCCAGUAGCUUUCUAAUGGUGUAGCUUUGCAAAACUCUGCCCUUCGUCAGAGAAUCGUACAAUCCCAGGAUAAAUUAAAUGAAUGACAACAUGUUCUCUACAUGUUGAAAGAUCUCUUACUUUCUUUUAAGGAAAAUAAUCACUUCUUCAUGCUAUUCCUCGUUAUAUAUGAAAUUUAGCUUAGUUUGAGAGGUAUUUAUUUAGUGAUAACACUGAUAAUUCGCCUUUGACACAAAUGACACCAACAAGAAAUUAUAGUAUAUUUGAUGUCCUUAGAAUAAUACAACUAAAUGCAAACCUAGUAAUCGGUGAAGUUAUCGUCUAUUUAAACAUGUAACUACUUUAUAAGAAAGACUUCAGCAGUUGGUUUGUGCAGUAAUACUCUACAACAUCAGACAGCAUCACAUUUACCAACUGUCCUACAACAGGGUGGAAUAGGCUUGGUCUGUCAGGUGCUCAUACAAGCUGGUGAGACGGCAUAGGAGCAGGGCUUCAUUUCCCACGGUGGGAUGACAGAAGAGGCCCAGAUGUACAGUGAACAGCUCAUUAGUUAGAGCAGCUCUAAAGGAUUAGCGGUGGUUCCUCCAAGGGUGAGAGGCAGCCAUCUCAGCUCUGUAUGUCCAAACAGGGCUGGCCAAUAAACCCCCAGUACCAGAAACAGCAGAGAUAGUUCUGCUGGGCUGUGAAGGAAGAAGCAUUUUUGCACAAUCUGUAGAUAGAUUUAGACAAACUAGAUAACAGGGAACUAUACAGAAAGAUGGGAAUAUCUUCAGAGGUGGCGGAAACCCUUUGAGUGGCCUGAAAGCUGCAGGUAGCAGACAGACUUGUUAUUAUAAAACAGAAAAAGUAGAUUGUGAGACCAUCUGGAUUUGGACUGAGCUCAUUUUUCAAGCUGUUUUGUUAUGUUGAUUGCUUUGUAUUUUGUUUGUGAGGCCAUGUGGGCCCACCACCUGGAUAAAUGUGUACUAAACUGCAAGCAUGGAUGGAUUACUGAGAAGGCCAAGUAGACACAGGGAACCUAAUGUCUGUUUGAAGGGACUAUUAACGUUUUCUGUUUCUUUAAAGUCAAUCAAAUGACCAUAGAGAGAAACAACACAACUACAAGGACACUCAUAACAACUACAACGAGACGGAGACUGAAAACAACUACAAAGAGACUCAACUACAAAGAGACUCAUAACACCUACAAGGAGACUCAUAACAACUACAAAGAGACUCAAAAGAACUACAAAGAGACUCAUAACAACUUCAAAGAGACAAAACAACUUCAAAGAGACUCAUAACUACAAAGAGACGCAACAACUUCAAAGAGACUCAACUUCAAAGAGACUCAAAACAACUACAAAGAGACUCAAAACAACGACAAAGACUCAAAACAACUUCAAAGAGACUCAUAGCAACUACAAAGAGACUCAAAACAACUUCAAAGAGACUCAAAACAACUUCAAAGAGACUCAAAACCCGUAGUGACAACAAAGGGAGAGAAUAUCUCUUUCACUUUGUGUCUUGCAGCUUUGUAGACAUGGUGGAGGAGCUUUUCCAUGUCUGUCCCUUCCUCCAAUCGUCUCAUAAUCCAUCCAUGUAUGCAGGUUUUCCAGGUUGUGGUAGACAUGCAGUAGGGCUGUAAACAAACCUAAAUAUCCUUGCUGAUAUCUUUUCCCCAAUGAAAAAUGUCCAACAAAUGAAAGAUAGCAAACGUUUGGAUCCACCUGACAAAAAAUGUUCAACGUAACGCUUUUCCAUAAGGGCUAUCGAGCUGAAAGAGCUGUUUCUGGAAAGCUAUUGCUAGUUUGAAAAAAAUAAUAAUGCUACAAGGUGGAACUUCAGAACUAUAAUCUCACUAUUGAUAUCAAUUCUACAACCUCUAACACAUCUGAAAAUGUGUUUUCUAGCUGUGAAAUGUGGGCAUUGGGAAUUGAUACAAGAUGUGCUUGGUCUGAUUUACAUAGUGUACAUUUAUGUGGUUUGUUACACAGGAAAAUUCUCUUAAAUUUGAUUAUCUUUGCAUUUUUAUUUGCACCUCUCCAGAGGAGUGCUUGAUAAAUUGAAGAUUUCGACAGUCCAAUGCACUCUCAGACUACUUCAAUGUGAGAGUUUGGCAGUAAAAUUACCACACACUGGCCAGAUGUCGGUUUGAAAAUCUAGAUACAGGCAAAGUCCAGUACCUAACCAAAAAUUCUAUUAGUUUUUGGUUUUUAGUUGUCAUAACUUAAAAUGAAUAAACAUAAAUUGUAGCAUUGACUACAUCAACUCGAGGGAUUGAGGGGAAACAAUCCUUCAGGUGAUUACAAAUUAGGUUUGGUUUGCACAACAUUGUGGGGAACAAAGAGUUUAAUGUUGGAAAAAACAGGUUUUACAGUAUGUGUGUGUUGUUUUCUUUUGUUUUUGCAUUGUGAAUAUUCCUGUAUCAUCCUGGAGGAGUCUUAACAAAUGGCAGGGAGCCAAAAAUCAAACAGAAAACAGGGCCUAUCUCAGGAAUACACUGUUGAAAAUCAGAGAGGCAGAACAUCUACAUAUUAAGAUGCUGCACUAUGUAUUUUCAAGAUUGAAGAAAGUUUAAAUGCUAAUUUCAAAUUAAUAUUCUGAUCAUUUCAGUGAGUAAAUCUGGAUCUCUACAACUUUGCUUGAAGCCUGGAAAUAGAUUUCUCUGACCUUGUCCUUCCACACCGUGCGAGUGUGGACUUUUUUUUUUUUACUGGUUCUGUAUGGGAUGAGAAGAAUCAGUUUGGAUAUUUUAUAUCACAUGUCUUCCUAAAGGUAUAUAGUACACCUUCAGAAAUGUCAGAAUAAUAACAGCCUACCAUGUACUGUAUCGUAGCUAUACCAAGGUGAACACAACUUCUGUCAGUGUCAUUAAUUCUGUUGGGUGUUGUGCUUUCGACAUUCGUUUAUUUGCUAAAACUGUAUUUUUGGUUUUACAUAUAUAUAUUUUGUAUUUUUGACACAUGCAAUUACGAUAAAUUAUGAACAUGAAGAUUAUAACAAUGCAUCUAUAAAUGCUUUUGUAUACAAGCAUGUAGUGAACAUAAAGAGAGCCUAUGCACGCACCAUGUUGGGCUAUAGGCUUCAUGUCAUUGUGCUGACGGAAACAUUCGGUUUUGUGUCCUUAUGUCCGGUUUCAGGGGUUUAGCUGAGAAGAAAGUAGAGCUUUAGAAUAUUGCCAAAACCAGAAUUGCCCAUUAAGUUGUUGUGUUUAUUGCUAUCUGUGCAGGUUAGGGGGUUUACCAGAACUAAUGGAUAUUCUCAAAUGCAACGUAAAGGGGCACUUCAUUGAUUUAGUUGAGAUUCAUGAAAGACAGAUUUCCCACCUUUAGUAAACAUGAGGAUCUCUUAACCUUGAUCCCAGCAGCUUGCAGUGCAUGUUUUCCAACUAAAAAAGUUGUAUCCUCGGAGCAUAAGCCAAAGUUUUGACAUCAGUACGACUCCACAAAACUCUUCCAGAGCAACACAAGAUUCUUUCGUAAAUUUAGCAGGGUGCCCCUUUUAGAUCAUUGGUGUAACAGAAACCUGACGGUCCAACCAGAAACCCUCCUGGGUUCACAGUCCUCAUGAAACCAAUACCUGCAAGUCUGUAGUGGAGAUCAUAUUGUCGUGUCCGCAGGCUGCAAAUUCUCCUUAUUUCACGCCAAAAAAGCAGAUGAGUCCAAAAAUUACAAAACUGCUCAUUGACACUGAAAAAUAUCCCAGAAAUAUUCCCAAUCCUUCUGGAGUUCUGCUGAGAUCAUUUUUGCAACAGUCUGAGAACAUUUCACUGUCAGAGCGAAGGUGUUCUGUGUCUCCACCGUCUUGUUUCCUUUAAACCUCCCAUCUUUCAGACGUAAUGAAGACUUGAAGGGCAGUAAAUAACGGCUGUGCAGCUCCGGUCAGAUGUAGAAUCCUUGGUUAUUCCACUGCGGCACAGUGGGAACAGAGCAAUAAUGGUACAAGCUCAUUUUAAGGGUCUCUGGUUUGAAUAAUUUUGCAUGUCUGAUGUGUAAGAGAGAGAGCAUGCUGUGACCAGACGGACGGCUGACCUAACCGAUACUGCUAUCUUUACUUGAAACCCAUACGAAGACCAAACAUAUCAGGACAAGAUGCAGAGGAGCGGCUCUGCCCACUGUCACACCUGCCACCUUUCUUUAACGCCGACUGAAGUUUUGAAGGCCUUUAUGUACGUACGAGCAUUUCAGGAAGUCAGGAGGAGUCUGGUUGGUGGCUGGGGAAUCAAGCAGAGCUAAAAUGUGGAAUGAUUUAAACCCAUGGAGAGCCAGAACCAGAACCAUGCAACUUCAGUAGACACUGUGAGCUUAUCCAGACUCUGUAGGCCUAGACGAAAUAGUCCUAACUCAACAUGGAGCUACCUAGUUCAUCCAGGCAGCGUAGGCCUAAAUGGAGUCAGCUAGACCUUCAGCAAGUAACUUAACUGGAGGUCUGUUUAUCCAGAUUGAGCAGGCCUAGAUGGAGCUAGCUAGAUCUUCAACAAAUAUUCCUAACUCAAGGUUGGGCUAACUUGUUUACCCAGGCUACAGUAGCUAAAUUAGACCUGACAAAAUCAUUUUCACUCAAGGUCCACUUCCCUUUAGCCACAUUUCAUGGUAUUAUAAGUGGACCUUAUGACUAGAUGUGUUUUUCCUCAACUUCUAGCUCACACUGUUUGAAUAAACAGUGGCGUAAAUGAGGACUAAUACUUCUCUCUCUAGCUGAAAGAUGGACUUUUAGUUGAAUUUACCAAACUAAUUCUGGCCAGUUCUACUUUCCGACACAGUCUAGUUAAAGUAGCUGCUGGUUUUAAAUCUUCUCGUCCUCAGAAAUGUUCUAGCAACCCUACUAGUCUACAUUUUAAAACAGACUUGAGUUAAGUUUAGGUAUUAAAACACUAUAAACAAUGUUGUGCGUCAGCUAGUAGUAUUUUAGGCUCUAAAACUCCAGUCUGCAUUUCCGCGGUAACCUCUCCUCCUCUCCAUCCCAUGUUCCUCACCUUUCCUCUCUCUCUCUCUCUCUCUCUCUCUCUCUCUCUCUCUCUCCAUGCUCUCCUCCUCUUCCUCCUCCUUCCUCCCCCACCUCCUCCUUCAGUUACUUUGAGGAAGAAGCUUCUUUUUGCAUCCCUUGUUCUUGUGUUUUUGUAUCCUGUUCUUUUUUUUCAAGAUGAAUUCUAAAUGCAUGCGUGGGAAACUUCAAAAUGAUGACUUUAACUUAAUUGCGAAUGGCCUUGUGAAGGGAAGCCUCUCCUCUGAUGACAGGAAGCAGUCUCCUUUUCUGACUUUCUCUGUAGGGUUGGAAAACAAAAUGUGGCGACACAACCAAGAAAAGAAAAAAAAACAUAUUUUAGUUGCUUUUCAUGCUUUAAACAAGGUGUGGAUGUUUUCACAGAGCAGCAGCAGGCUCAGUUUCAUGAGUCUAGUUGGGGCUUUCAAGAAGUUUUGGGAAAUCUAGCAGAGUUAUCCUUCAUGUUUCCAUGCUACCAUUUCAGAACAUAUCCUACGGAUAUAUUCCUGGGUCAUUAUUCAUCGUCAUCUCCUGCUCCAGUGCUGUACCGUCUGUUCAUCCAUUAGUUUUUUCACUGGAUUUAGUUUUUCCUCUCAUCUCGUGCUCAUUUUUACGUGCCUUCUCUUCUCUCUUCUGCUGUGGGCUACACAUCACUGUUUGGUUGUUUAGUCCAUGAUCUCACCACCUGGAUAAAUAGUUGGUUUGUGUCCACAGAGGAAAAAAAGAACGACGACAGAAGCAAAGACGAGAGGCUUCCCUCCAUUGACGAAUGGGGUUUACUGUAUGCUAUAAAGAUUGAUGCUGGAUCUGAUUUUAUUGUCACUACACUGGAGAGAGGAAAAUUAAAAAAAAAAAAAAAAAAUACAAGAAACAAAAAGAAUCAAGAACUGUAUAAAAUAUAUUUCAAUGGAAUGUUUAUUACUUACCUUUUUCUAUUUUUGAAACAUGUAAAAGAACAAAAAAGGUGAAACUGUAAUAAUUCAGCAACAUUUGUGAAAAAGAACAGUUCUGCUGUUAAAAACGUAUGAAGGUUUGACUGUGAAUGCUGAUUUACCUGAGCAACUCUCCUCCUUAACUGAUAGGAUAAAUAAAAACCAGAUGAAUAAUACUUUUAAAAAAAAUCACGAAACUACUGGGAAAAAGCAAACAAACUCAGUUCAAAGAGAAAACCUCAAAAACUUAAUAAAAACAUUAAAAGCUUAUGCCAAAAUGUUC
Amphiprion ocellaris (clown anemonefish) is the source of this 14654-nucleotide RNA transcript. It is a transcript of the gene named potassium voltage-gated channel subfamily C member 1-like, with no coding region annotated. NCBI's taxonomy places the organism in Eukaryota, Metazoa, Chordata, Actinopteri, Pomacentridae. The transcript is spliced from 6 exons. The record is from RefSeq and is a predicted model, not a curated record.